RNAcentral lists this ribosomal RNA (465 nucleotides) under uncultured bacterium. RNAcentral's name for it is "bacterial SSU rRNA". It matches the Rfam family "Bacterial small subunit ribosomal RNA", at positions 917 to 1382 of the family's 1533-position model. The record is from RNAcentral.
GGGCCCGCACAAGCGGUGGAGCAUGUGGUUUAAUUCGACGCGACGCGAAGAACCUUACCCAGACUUGACAUGCAUUGGACGAGUGUGGAAACACACUUUCCCUUCGGGGCCGGUGCACAGGUGCUGCAUGGCUGUCGUCAGCUCGUGUCGUGAGAUGUUGGGUUAAGUCCCGCAACGAGCGCAACCCUUGUCCUUAGUUGCUAACGGGUAAAGCCGAGCACUCUAGGGAGACUGCCGGUGGUAAACCGGAGGAAGGUGGGGAUGACGUCAAGUCCUCAUGGCCCUUACGUCUGGGGCUACACACGUGCUACAAUGGCCAGUACAAAGGGUUCCAAGACCGCGAGGUGGAGGCAAUCCCAAAAAACUGGUCUCAGUUCGGAUUGCAGUCUGCAACUCGACUGCAUGAAGUUGGAAUCGCUAGUAAUCGCUGAUCAGCAGGCAGCGGUGAAUACGUUCCCGGGCCUU